UCUCUCCUGCGGUGUUCGACAGCGGCUUGAUAGGUCUCUCGACCCUUAAUCGCGCUUUCGGGAUCGCGUAUUGUUGGCAGUUUGUGCAUUACCGUUCAGGUUAAUUCUGGGCGGGAAGCCUUCUCUGCCGCUUCUGGUCCCACCUGAUGCUCUUGGUCUGUGAGCAGCAGGCCGCACCGGCACAGGCGGGAGAGAC
Molecule: non-coding RNA, 196 nt
Filed under: Gammaproteobacteria bacterium
Lineage: Bacteria; Pseudomonadati; Pseudomonadota; Gammaproteobacteria
Description: 6S RNA
Rfam family: 6S / SsrS RNA
About the family: E. coli 6S RNA was the first non coding RNA to be sequenced, but its function was unknown until recently. It consists of 184 nucleotides that fold into an extended hairpin structure with a large single-stranded internal bulge.
Source: RNAcentral